This 208-nucleotide ribosomal RNA is filed under the name uncultured bacterium. RNAcentral's name for it is "partial 16S ribosomal RNA". It matches the Rfam family "Bacterial small subunit ribosomal RNA", at positions 568 to 774 of the family's 1533-position model. The record is from RNAcentral.
UGCGCAGGCGGCUAUAUAAGACAGACGUGAAAUCCCCGGGCUCAACCUGGGAACUGCAUUUGUGACUGUAUAGCUAGAGUACGGCAGAGGGGGAGUGGAAUUCCGCGUGUAGCAGUGAAAUGCGUAGAUAUGCGGAGGAACACCGAUGGCGAAGGCAAUCCCCUGGGCCUGUACUGACGCUCAUGCACGAAAGCGUGGGGAGCAAACA